GGCUCCAGACGCAUAAGCCUGUGUGGAGCGCAGCGUCGCUGAGCAAGACAGGUGUGGAGGAUGAGAAGCGGGGCCACAAGAUGGGAAGGGAAUCUGUGUGGAGAUGGUGCCCUAAACAUGCUGCCUUGAGGAGGGACCUCUGCAUGGGGUGGCCGGGCACAGCCAGGCUACCCAUGGGGACCUCAACAGCUUUGCCAUUGCACACUGUCUUUGCAGACAAGAUCUUAAUCACAUCCAACUUUCUGCAGUUGCGCAGGGUACCUCAGACCCACAUCCCAGAUGACAUUGCUCAGAAGCUCGCAGCUGGAGAUGAUAUCACCUUAGACAACAUCACCCUAGCCCAAGACAUCGCUAUUAGAGAUACAUCACCUGGACACUAAAGCCUCCACCCCAGUGACACCCAUGCAAUGCCUCUCUCAGGGUGCUGACAAAAUGGACAUGGACAUUUGUUGCUUUUCUUCUUUUGAAUUAGGAACUCUAUUGUGUUUCCUGAAUGUACUGUCUGCUUGGCCCGUGAUCCUGGUAUGUUCCUUGCUGUCUGCCAAAACAUGCACCCUCCCCUCCACACCUAAAGGAAAAUCUGCUAGAAGCUACUACUCUCAAUGCCAUUCUAAA
Molecule: long non-coding RNA, 615 nt
Filed under: Pongo abelii (Sumatran orangutan)
Lineage: Eukaryota; Metazoa; Chordata; Mammalia; Primates; Hominidae
Description: lincRNA
Source: RNAcentral